UUAAAAAACUGGAUUCAAGGGGAGUGAAGAUAAUUUUCUCCUUUUAACAGUUUCCUCCUCAAUAAUGAAUGUUCCUGGAUCAGUUGUCAUCAGGCACGAAAUUGCUGGAGUUGCACAAGAGCAGAAAAGUCGAAGUGGAACUGGCGUUGUCGGUGACAAAUUUUCUUCUGAACCUGACUCAGAACAUUCUGCAAGCAUAUCUACAGAGUCCGCCUUCAAGCCGCCAGAAUCUUACCAUAUUCCAACAUCCGGCUCAUUUCCACACACUUCCGGACCUGCUGUUUGCGUUGUGCAAAUGCCACAGUCUUACACCAAUUUACCGCUCGGACAAGGACAAGGACAACUUCCCGAUUACUUCCCCGAACGCAGUGGCCAUGUCACUGUCAGUGACCAGGAACGAUUUGUGAGAUCUGUUGACCUCGUUGACAUUGGUGGUGUCCAAUCAGUUCAGAUGCCCUUCACGGUUCCAUCAGUGUCCGUACCUAUCAUGAUGCAAUCGCAGUCGGUUCCCGUCUCUUCUCCCAGUCCCAUGGCGACAAUUAAUCAAACAUCAUUUCAACAACAAACCGUACCGAUACAGGGUAAGAUUUGUGCAGUAAUGGCUCCCUCUGAAGACCUUCAUAUCUGUGGUAGAUGCAAGCUCCAGUUCAACAAUGUGGAUCACUUUAUUCGUCACAAACAGCAGGGUUGCCAGAUCUCGAGACCAGUGAGCCAACAGGAGGUUGUGAUGAGGCCACAAGUACAGCAGCAGCCUUUAAUUUCUCAACAGGAACAAGUAACAGAGUCUCUCUCAGGACCCACUUCAGAUGAAACCACUUCCAAUAUUACUGUUGUAUCUGAAAUUAGCGAGUCCCAGGUUGGAGCACCCCAGGUUGGAGGUGACUCCAUGCCUUCAGAACCAAGGCUAGACGUACCUGUCCAUCAGACUCCAGAGGUCAUCCAGCCUGAGCCAAUGGAACAAGAAAUAGAAAGGUUGUUGGAAGAAAGCCACACAGCAAAAAACUUACCGAAACCAAAACAACCAAGUUCCCGACUGGCCCCAGUAAAGAAAUAUUCGUGUGAAUUUGCCGACUGUACGUAUAUGACUGCCUAUCAGAAGGAUCUGGAGAGGCACUGGCGAGUUCAUACAGGGGACAGACCAUAUCACUGUGAACACUGUGAGAGGAGUUUCACACGCCUUGAUCAUCUGAAACUGCACAAAUACUCACAUACAGGGGGUAAACCGUACCAGUGUCCACAAUGCAACUAUUCCACCGCUGAGAAAAGUGCUCUAAAGAAACACAUUCGAAUACACACAGGAGAAAAACCAUACAAGUGUCAGAUGUGUCCCUAUGCCAGCAGGAACUCCAGCCAGCUGAUCGUCCACUUAAGGUCUCACACGGGUGAUGCGCCGUUCCAGUGUCACAUCUGCCCAUCCAAAUUCAAGAUAAAUUCCGAUCUAAAGCGUCAUAUGAGGACCCACACAGGAGAGAAACCAUUCAGUUGCGACAUGUGUGACUACAAAUGUGCCGUCAAAGGCAAUCUCCAGAUCCACGUGAAGAUCAACCACUCCGGAGACAAUCAGUAUAAAUGUGAAGAGCAGGGCUGUGACUUUGCCAUCUCCUCUCAGAAGCUGCUACGGGAACACCAAAAGAUACAUCUGGGCGAUCAACACAGCUUUCAGUGCGGCGAAUGCCAGUAUCUCUGUAGCACAAAAUCAUCGCUCAGAAACCACAUGGUCACUCACAGUGAGGAGCGGCCGUUCAAAUGUGGCUACUGUACGCAUUCGUCUAAACAGCGCGGGAAUAUGAAAAAUCAUCUCAUGCGUAAACAUCCAGAACAGCUGCCGUUGCGGAAGAGGAAGAAGGAGAAAGCUGACACGCUUAAGAAAUCACCGCAUAAAACUCGCCCGUUGUGUAAGACGUCUUUUGAUUGUUCUGUUUGCGGGGAUGGGUUCGUCCGGGAGGAUUCUUAUAAAAGCCACAUGAAGCAACACAAGGAGUUGGCGAUCGUGAUGGAGGAUACGGCGCUGGCCGUGUUACAGUUGCAGACACCCGUUACGAAUAUUGUGCGAGCUUGUGCUGCCUCUGGUGGUGAAACCCAGGAGGCGACAGUGAGCAGUUCAAGUGAGGCGGAAGCGAGGGGUGAGGGAGUGCGAGAUCUGCGGCAGUUUGUUCAUGAGGGGUCGGAUGGACCCCUUAAGGUUUUUGAAGUAUCUGGAGGAAAGGCUAGCGUCGGUGCUGUCACCGAGCAGGCACCUGGAACUGUGCUUGUUGACAAUAGGAACGCUCAGUUGGUGACGUCAAAUCAGCCUGGAUAUGUUUCAAUGGAGUCUAGCUUCAUUCAAGGUAACGCGCCAGCUGUUAUCUUAGAGAGCAGCAGUGGGAAACAAAUAGUGGUGCAAGUCAGUGGGGCCCCGCCCGGGCCUCAGAGUCAAAUGGUGCCAGGUGGUCAUAUGGUGACUGUACCAGCUGGUGGAAAUCUUAACUAUGUACCCAAAGGCACACCACAAACUUUAAGCGAGAAUCACCUGACUACGGUGCAGAAUGUCCUUGCCUCAGGAAGUGUGGCAGAGCCUUCUUUCUACACAACGGCAGCAUUCCCCUCCACCGGAAUCGAACGGGUUCAACAAGUUGGGCAGAUCCAAUCUGUUUAUUCUAACACAACGACAACAGCAGUGGCAAGUUUCUCAAGCGUUCCACAACAAAUGUCGACUGCUGCUGUUUCUAGCGGGCAAGGCCACCUGCAGUCUACAGUUCAGCCUCUGCCGGUCUCAAACUCUCCACAGAUUCGACAGUUCACUUCAGCUAGCUCUUCCAUUUCUAAUGUUCCACCCCAGGGCCGAAGAGUUAGGAGGCGGACUAUGUCAACGAACUCUGCCAUCAAAAUCACACAUACUCCUCUGAAGAAGACGAAGAAGCAGACAGUGCGUAGUAUUUUAAGUCCGAGUUCUCAAACGAGUGCAGCAGCCAUCAGUCAUCAACCCGUCAUGCAGAUACCGGGACCAAGUCCUCAAGUCGUAUAUAGGUCAACGCGGGACAACGCAGGUAUUGUAAGUGAUGGUAAUAGUGUCCAGGUGCAAUCUCAUGGCCUUCCAGGACAUCAGGUCGUCGUACAGGUCCCAGUUGGUGAAAAUACUCGGGCUGUUGACGGUUCAGGGCGCCCUGUUUUCGUUCAGACGCCAAAUAGUGACUGCCACUUUGUCGGGCCUUCUGCGCCUCAAAACCAAACAGUUCAAAUGCAGGGGAGUGAUUCGAGAGUCGGUGUGAAUCAACCUGUCGUGAUGCAGGUUCCUCAAAACCAAACAGUUCAAAUGCAGGGGAGUGAUUCGAGAGUCGGUGUGAAUCAACCUGUCGUGAUGCAGGUUCCAGUGAGUGUCGAUAAUCCAUCCCUACCGAUGCAGAUGUCACCUGGGAUGGUGCCGCCCGGGCAGUCGCAGAUGAUGCUGGCAAUGUCGCCUGGAACCGAGAGUGGGAUUUGCUACAGAUUGGUCCCACAGGUGGCAGCACCUGAUGGCAGCAUCACCUAUAGCCUUCUUCCUCAACCGUAUAUGCCGAGAGAAAACCAAGCCUUGUCUCCAGUCACAAGUCAACCUGCAUCCCAGGUCCAGGUGGUACCUCCGCUUGUCCAACCCUAUGCCGAAAAUUCCGAGGUCAAGAACCAUUUAGAAGAACGACAGGCACAGAACAAUCGCGAGAUCCAGACAGACACGAGACCCCAUGACCAGACAGAAUAGAGAGAACUAGUUUCAUUGAAACUCUGAUUGUUGGAAUAUAGGACCAUAUUUCAAGGGAAUAGAAAUGGACGCCUCGUGGUCAUGGCCGUUCGAAGAUGAGCUCGAUGAGAGUGAGUUGUGAAUGUUGUCUUGGUUUCUACUAGAGAAAUAGAAACUUCCAUGAAAUUUUGUAGUCUAUUUAAAUCCCAACCCUUGAGGGUUAAUGUAUAUGUUGAUUGAUCAAACAAAGUCAUGCUUAUCCAUUAUUGUUCAAACUCUUGUUUUAUGCUUGAUUACCUGACAUCACAGAAAGCGCAAACCAUGGGUCAAAGACCGACAGAUAACUCAUUAACUUUUGAUAAUUCAAUUACGCCACUUAAGUGGUAAUGAAACUAUGUUAGAAAUUUUGUAAUAAUUGUUAAAUGGACGUAAAGGUUUUGUCAUCGUUUCGAUGGAAUUGCUUUAAUUUUUGAUUCACUUAACAAACUUGAGUGAACAUGUGUCUUUGGGUCAAAGUCGUUCCGAUAACUGUUCAAGUUUCAGUAAAGUGAUUUUGUCCUUUAGAUUUAUUAGCGGUUCUGUUUGAGGUGUUGCGUUCCAAGUCCGCCUUGGAAUUUCUCGAAACUAUUUUGAUAGUUUAAAUAAGUUUCAAGUCUGAACAAACAUGUACAUUAUAUGUAGCUAAUCAAAGCUUUUCAACGGCCUUGGUCAUAUUAUGGUGAGAAACUUGUGUAUAAAUUGUAUAUUGUGUACACAUAUUUUGUGAGUAGCUUUUACAUAAUGUUUUGUAAAGUGAACUAUUUU
Molecule: RNA transcript, 4498 nt
Organism: Lineus longissimus
Lineage: Eukaryota; Metazoa; Nemertea; Pilidiophora; Heteronemertea; Lineidae
Exons: 10
Source: RefSeq, a predicted model, not a curated record